This 146-nucleotide ribosomal RNA is filed under the name Escherichia coli. RNAcentral's name for it is "partial 16S ribosomal RNA". It matches the Rfam family "Bacterial small subunit ribosomal RNA", at positions 1 to 140 of the family's 1533-position model. RNAcentral also lists the same sequence under 1 other name. Lineage: Bacteria; Pseudomonadati; Pseudomonadota; Gammaproteobacteria; Enterobacterales; Enterobacteriaceae. The record is from RNAcentral.
AAAUUGAAGAGUUUGAUCAUGGCUCAGAUUGAACGCUGGCGGCAGGCCUAACACAUGCAAGUCGAACGGUAACAGGAAGAAGCUUGCUUCUUUGCUGACGAGUGGCGGACGGGUGAGUAAUGUCUGGGAAACUGCCUGAUGGAGGG